CGCCGCCCCUCCCCCGCGCGCGCUCCCGCCCGGCUCCAUCCACCCAACCAGGAAGUGAACCGCCGCCGGAAGUGCCUCUCGGGACGGCGCGGCGAGGGGCCGAGGCCCUCCUAUUGCUGCCGCCCGGUCGCGACAGACGAGAAGGAGUCGUGGGAGAGAAGGGGACCCAGGAGGGGGGUGUCUCAGUGUGUACAGAGUUUUGUAAAAGAACUUUUAUCACCCGAUCCGCAGUGCACCAUGGGAAAGGUAGUUCGGCGCAAGCCACCGGCCGGACUACAACUCCCAGGAUGCCCCUGACGGAGCGAGCAAAGUGGCUGCGGUGGCCUCCUUGGCCUCGAAGGUGGUUAGUGGGGUGGUGCAUUUGUGGGGAUUCGGUUAUUUAAACAUAUCCGGUAAAGAAACCGCCAAGGACUAGGAAACUGCUGUAUGUUCCACCCUUUUGAAGCCAUCUUACUUGCGGUUUGACCUCCCUGCACAAGGGAUUCUGGGGGUUGUUGUUUCCAAACGGAUCGAGAGGCUGACACCUGAAGGACGCGGCUUAACCGCUUAGCCUCUGGCCGGUCCUGCGGGGCUUACCGACGUCACCUGGGCAGAAGGUGGAAGAGGAGGGGUAAUCAGGAGAAUUUUGCUGGCAAUUGGUCCGAGGCCACAGUCGAACGCCAACUCUGAGUAGAACCUGUGCCCUUCCGCCGCCAACCUCAAAAAGCCGUUUUUGCUCCCAGAUGUUGUUGAGAACCGCUCGGCGGUCAGCUCUGAGCUAGGCGCAGUGAGAGCGCUUAAUAAGACGGUGUCCCGGCUGGGAAUCUACAGGCAGGACUCAAACCGAGAAACUUAAACGUUGUGUUCAGGGCAGAUUCUAGGGUACCAGCAGAUCCAAGCCGUUGGCUGUGACCCCAAACUGGGGCUGGCUCGUCUGCCGACAGUGACCCUCAGUUCUUCCACGUUUGCUGAUGCUAUGGGUGGGCCUUACCUUCACAUAUCCCCUCACACAAGAACCCAAGACUGAUCUGUUGUUAUUUCUUUUUCACUCAAGAUUCCCUCCUUCCUUGAUGCUGAUUUUUACCCUGAUACCGCCUGAGUGCCAAAGUCCACUUGGCGGACAAUGUGAUUUUCAUCUGCCAAAUGCAGAAGACUUGGAAGGCCAGUUACUACCCUUCUACAUCCCUAGAUUUCCUGAUGGACGGUGCUUAAGGGCCCGUCUGAUACACAAACAGUAAAGUCUAUGAAACAACUUGCUGACAUUUCACAAAGCAAUACCCAGAUCAAGAGUUCCAAAAUUGCCAAUACUCCAAAAAUCCCCAAAGUCAUUGCUCCCAAUCAGUAUUUCUUUUCUUUUCAAAGAUAAUUAUAACCUUAACUUCUGUGAUAACUAUUUUCUUGCUUAUCUGUAUAGUUUUAUCUUCUAAGUGUGGAACCCUAAACAGUGUGUUUUUGUUUUUGUUUUUUUUUUUGCCUGUAUUUAACUUUAUAUAAAUAGAAUGAUGCAAUAUAUAUUCUUGUUGAUCUGGUCUCUUUUAUUCAAUAAUAUAUUUUUAAGACUCAUACAGGUUAUGUAUAGCUGUUGUUUUUACUUUGCUUAAUAGCAUUGUAUUAUAUGAAUAUACAUGCUCUUUGUUUAUUCAUUCUUCUGUUGAUGGACUUUGAGGCAGUUUCCAGUUUGAGAUGAUUACAAACAGAGAUGCUAUGAUCAUUCUUGUAUAUGUCUUAUAGAGAACAUGUAUGCAUAUUUUGUUGGGUAUAUUUCCUAUCAAUGAUAUCAGUAUUUGUAAGUUAUAUGUAACUUCAAUUUUAUUAGAUACUAUCAAGAAUUUUCUAAAGUAUCAUACUAACUUACACUCCUGUAGCAGCAGAUAAAAGUAUUCCUUGUUCACAACUUCAGUUGUGGUAGGGCUGGUCUUUUAAUUUUAGCCAUUCAUGGUGUCUUGUUAUAUUAUUUACAUUGCCCUGAUUAUUAGUGAUGUUAAGUAUCUUUUCAUAUGUCUGUUAUCCAUUAGUUAUCCUUUUUUUUCUCCCCAAAAAAAUGUCUGUUCAAGUCUUUUACCCAUUUUUCUUUUGGGUUGGCUGUCAGUUUCUUAUUGGUUUGUAGAAUCUCUUUAAAUAUUCCAUACUUGAGCUCUUUGUAAGUUGUAAGUGUUACAAAUAUCUUAUCCAUAUUCCAUAUCUUUUAAUGAAUAGUUCUUAAUAUUAAUGUUAAAUUUAUAUUGUUUAUAAUGUUAAAUAAAUGCCAAAUUAAUCCAC
Long non-coding RNA from Herpailurus yagouaroundi (jaguarundi), 2238 nucleotides. RefSeq lists it as uncharacterized. The record is from RefSeq and is a predicted model, not a curated record. Lineage: Eukaryota; Metazoa; Chordata; Mammalia; Carnivora; Felidae. The transcript has 2 exons.